CCUUUAAAGAGUGCGUAAUAGCUCACUGAUCGAGUAAACCUGCGCCGAAAAUGUAUGGGACUAAGUAAUUUGCCGAAACUGUGCGAUAUAUAUUUAUAUAUCGGUAGGGGAGCGUUCUGUUGUAGGUCGAAGUAUUAGCGUAAGCGGAUAUGGACGAAGCAGAAGUGAGAAUGUCGGCUUGAGUAACGAAAAUAUAGGUGAGAAUCCUAUACCCCGAAAACCCAAGGUUUCCUCCGGAAGGCUCGUCCGCGGAGGGUAAGUCAGGACCUAAGGCGAGGCUGAAAAGCGUAGUCGAUGGACAACGGGUUAAUAUUCCCGUACCAUUUUUUAUUGACAACGAGGGACGGAGAAGGCUAAGCUAGCCGGAUAUUGGUUACCGGUUUAAACGUUCGAGAUGUUGAGAAGCGGCGAAAACGCUUUGAGUUGAGACGUGAGUACGAGACGCUAAGGCGUCGAAGUAGUGUAUGUCAUACUUCCAAGAAAAGCUUGCACUGUCAUAAAUAAAAAAUGCCUGUACCAUAACCGACACAGGUGGGUAGGUAGAGUAUACUAAGGGGCGCGAGAUAACUCUCUCUAAGGAACUCGGCAAAAUGACUCCGUAACUUCGGGAGAAGGAGUGCCUUAUUUAUAAGGUUGCAAUAACAAGAUCCAAGCAACUGUUUACCAAAAACACAGGUCUCCGCUAAGUCGUAAGACGAUGUAUGGGGGCUGACGCCUGCCCAGUGCCAGAAGGUUAAAGAAGUCGGUUAGUUUAGGCGAAGCUGAUAACUGAAGCCCUGGUGAACGGCGGCCGUAACUAUAACGGUCCUAAGGUAGCGAAAUUCCUUGUCGGGUAAGUUCCGACCCGCACGAAAGGCGUAAUGAUUUGGAUACUGUCUCGGAGAGGGGCUCGGUGAAAUAGACUUGUCUGUGAAGAUGCGGACUACCUGCACCAGGACAGAAAGACCCUAUGAAGCUUUACUGUAACUUGAAAUUGAAAUUGGACUUUAUUCGCGCAGUAUAGGUGGGAGGUGUUGAUUAUAAUCUUGCGGGAUUAUUGGAGCCAUCAGUGAGAUACCACUCUUGUAAUGUUAGAUUUCUAACUUUGAAUCAUUAUCUGGUCAAAGAACAGUUUCAGGCGGGCAGUUUGACUGGGGCGGUCGCCUCCCAAAUGGUAACGGAGGCGUACAAAGGUUUCCUCUGAACGGGUAGAAAUCGUAUCUAGAGUGUAAAGGCAUAAGGAAGCUUGACUGUGAGACCUACAAGUCGAGCAGGGACGAAAGUCGGUCUUAGUGAUCUGACGGUACUGAGUGGAAAGGCCGUCACUCAACGGAUAAAAGUUACUCUAGGGAUAACAGGCUGAUCUCCCCCAAGAGUUCACAUCGACGGGGAGGUUUGGCACCUCGAUGUCGGCUCAUCGCAUCCUGGGGCGGUAGUACGUCCCAAGGGUUGGGCUGUUCGCCCAUGAAAGCGGUACGCGAGCUGGGUUCAGAACGUCGUGAGACAGUUCGGUCCAUAUCCGGUGUAGGCGUUAGAAUAUUGAGAGGAGCCUUCUUUAGUACGAGAGGACCGAGAAGGACAUACCUCUGGUGUACCAGUUAUCGUGCCAACGGUAAACGCUGGGUAGCUAUGUAUGGAGUGGAUAACCGCUGAAAGCAUCUAAGUGGGAAGCCCACCUCAAGAUAAGUAUUCUCAUCACGUAAGUGAGUAAGGUCACGGUAAGACUAACCGUUUGAUAGGCAUUAAGUGUAAGUACAGUAAUGUAUGUGCUGAGAUGUCCUAAUAGACCGAGGACUUGAAUUU
RNAcentral lists this ribosomal RNA (1782 nucleotides) under marine metagenome. Its description in RNAcentral is "bacterial LSU rRNA". It matches the Rfam family "Bacterial large subunit ribosomal RNA", at positions 1120 to 2925 of the family's 2925-position model. The record is from RNAcentral.